This 253-nucleotide ribosomal RNA is filed under the name uncultured bacterium. RNAcentral describes it as "partial 16S ribosomal RNA". It matches the Rfam family "Bacterial small subunit ribosomal RNA", at positions 524 to 776 of the family's 1533-position model. The record is from RNAcentral.
GACGGGGGAUGCAAGAGUUAUCCGGAAUCACUGGGCGUAAAGCGUCUGUAGGUGGUGAUGCAAGUCACUGGUGCAAAACUCUGGCUCAACCGGAGGAAAGCCAGUGAAACUGCAUGACUAGAGUGUGGGAGAGGUAGAAGGAAUUCCCUGAGUAGCGGUGAAAUGCGUAGAUACAGGGAAGAACACCGGAGGCGAAAGCGUUCUACUGGAACACAACUGACACGGAGAGACGAAAGCUAGGGGAGCUAAUGGG